CCGCCAGACUCCUACGGGAGGCAGCAGUGGGGAAUAUUGCACAAUGGGGGAAACCCUGAUGCAGCGACGCCGCGUGAAGGAAGAAGUAUUUCGGUAUGUAAACUUCUAUCAGCAGGGAAGAAAAUGACGGUACCUGACUAAGAAGCCCCGGCUAACUACGUGCCAGCAGCCGCGGUAAUACGGAGGAUGCGAGCGUUAUCCGGAUUUAUUGGGUUUAAAGGGUGCGUAGGCGGACAGUCAAGUCAGCGGUAAAAAUGCGGUGCUCAACGCCGUACAGCCGUUGAAACUGGCAGUCUUGAGUGGGCGAGAAGUAUGCGGAAUGCGUGGUGUAGCGGUGAAAUGCAUAGAUAUCACGCAGAACUCCGAUUGCGAAGGCAGCAUACCGGCGCCCGACUGACGCUGAGGCACGAAAGCGUGGGUAUCGAACAGGAUUAGAUACCCCCGUAC
This 447-nucleotide ribosomal RNA is filed under the name uncultured bacterium. RNAcentral's name for it is "bacterial SSU rRNA". It matches the Rfam family "Bacterial small subunit ribosomal RNA", at positions 328 to 793 of the family's 1533-position model. The record is from RNAcentral.